Molecule: long non-coding RNA, 603 nt
Organism: Rosa chinensis
Lineage: Eukaryota; Viridiplantae; Streptophyta; Magnoliopsida; Rosales; Rosaceae
Exons: 2
Source: RefSeq, a predicted model, not a curated record
UAAAGCCGACUCUCUCUCUCUAUCUUCUUCUUCCUCUCUACAGAGAACGAAAUGAGCCAAGACGCCAAGAGAAGCGUUCUCGGGACUGUGCCGACGAUGCCGAAUUUCGAUGAGCGGAAAACCUCACCGGCUAUCACCGCCUCCACCGGCAAGCGUGUUUGUUGUGUUGAUCACUGGAUUUGAUAUGAAAAUAGGAAUGUAUUUCAGCGCUCAGUGCUAAUAAGCUUUUAGUAGGUUCGUCAUGCAUGGCGUAAAAACUUGGUAAAGAAAUGUUUGGAGGACGAGAUGCGAGCUACCGUAUCAAGAAGGCUUCAUUAGGAAGUAGAUAACAAAAGUCAACAAAGAGGAACAGAUGGUUUGUUUGCGGAUCUCAUGGAAUAUUUUGUUGAUGCAUCAGAUUUUGUGGAUUAUCUUAAGGCAACUUGGUAUCCUAGAAUUUGUUUAUGGCUUAGGAUGAAGGUCAUUGGCCAAUCAUAUAGUAGCUUACGAAAUCAAUCAGUUUUUUAUAUCUUUUUAUGAUCCAAGUUAAAGUUAUUUGUUAUGUUAAAACAGUCCAUAAAUUUAAGAUUUCAUGUUAAAACAGUCCAUAAAUUUACGACUUUA